CUUGUAUGUUCACAGCAGCACUAUUUGUAACAGCAGAUAUAGAAUCAACCUAGUGCCCAUCUACAGUGGGUUGGACAAAGAAGAUGUGGUACAUGCACACCAUGAAAUACUACACAUCCAUAGAAAGAACAAAAUCAUGUGCUUUGCAGCAACGUGGCUGGAACUAAAGGCCAUUAUCCAAGUGAACCAACAAAGUAACAGAAAACAAAAUACUGCAUGUUCUCA
Long non-coding RNA from Sapajus apella (tufted capuchin), 225 nucleotides. RefSeq lists it as uncharacterized. The transcript is spliced from 3 exons. The record is from RefSeq and is a predicted model, not a curated record. Lineage: Eukaryota; Metazoa; Chordata; Mammalia; Primates; Cebidae.